AGAACGAACGCUGGCGGCAGGCCUAACACAUGCAAGUCGAACGCUCGUAGCAAUACGGGAGUGGCAGACGGGUGAGUAACGCGUGGGAACGUACCCUUCGGUUCGGAAUAACCCGGGGAAACUCGGGCUAAUACCGGAUACGUCCGCAAGGAGAAAGAUUUAUCGCCGAAGGAUCGGCCCGCGUCCGAUUAGCUAGUUGGUGGGUAAUGGCCCACCAAGGCGACGAUCGGUAGCUGGUCUGAGAGGAUGAUCAGCCACACUGGGACUGAGACACGGCCCAGACUCCUACGGGAGGCAGCAGUGGGGAAUAUUGGACAAUGGGCGCAAGCCUGAUCCAGCCAUGCCGCGUGAGUGAAGAAGGCCCUAGGGUUGUAAAGCUCUUUCAGCGGGAAGAUAAUGACGGUACCCGCAGAAGAAGCCCGACUAACUUCGUGCCAGCAGCCGC
This 445-nucleotide ribosomal RNA is filed under the name uncultured bacterium. RNAcentral describes it as "SSU rRNA". It matches the Rfam family "Bacterial small subunit ribosomal RNA", at positions 26 to 518 of the family's 1533-position model. The record is from RNAcentral.